GACGAACGCUGGCGGCGUGCUUAACACAUGCAAGUCGAACGGAAAGGCCCUGCUUUUGUGGGGUGCUCGAGUGGCGAACGGGUGAGUAACACGUGAGUAACCUGCCCUUGACUUUGGGAUAACUUCAGGAAACUGGGGCUCAUACCGGAUAGGAGCUCCUGCUGCAUGGUGGGGGUUGGAAAGUUUCGGCGGUUGGGGAUGGACUCGCGGCUUAUCAGCUUGUUGGUGGGGUAGUGGCUUACCAAGGCUUUGACGGGUAGCCGGCCUGAGAGGGUGACCGGCCACAAUGGGACUGAGAGACGGACCAGACGCCUACGGGAGGCAGCAGUGGGGAAUAUUGCACAAUGGGCGGAAGCCUGAUGCAGCAACGCCGCGUGCGGGAUGACGGCCUUCGGGUGGUAAACCGCUUUCGCCUGUGACGAAGCGUGAGUGACGGUAAUGGGUAAAGAAGCACCGGCUAACUACGUG
RNAcentral lists this ribosomal RNA (468 nucleotides) under uncultured bacterium. RNAcentral describes it as "partial 16S ribosomal RNA". It matches the Rfam family "Bacterial small subunit ribosomal RNA", at positions 28 to 507 of the family's 1533-position model. The record is from RNAcentral.